GGCAGGUUUAUGGCAAGCAUGUGUUCGGCUGUUAUGGCUGCCAAAAGGGAAGCCGGUUCCUUCAUAAUCAACAUGUAAUCAACACAAAUCCCUGUUCUCAUCAUCUUGCCUUUGAAAUCCAUUGUGCAUUUUACAUGAGUGGUGCAUCUUAUUUCAUAUUUUAAGUUCUCAGUAGUCAUAUAAGCUAGUGGAUUUGGCAGUGGCCAGCUCAAUUCUAAGGAUUUUAGGAGACAAGAUUGAUGGGGGAGGUCCUUCUGUGUAUAUGUUUGUCUUAUUGGUUGAUAAAUAAAGCACUGUUGGCCAAUAGGGAAGCAAGAUAGGGGGGACUAGGAGAGAAGGAGGAUUCUGGGAAAUGUAGUAAAGGGAGGAGUCGCCAUGUGAUCCUAGCAAGAGAGGACUCAUGCCACCAUUGUCCUUGAUAAGGGUAAAAUUUGCCAUUGUUUCAUGCCUGCUGCACACUACACAGUGGUACCUUGGUGAGGACUCCACUCACAAAUCAAGGGAGCAAGAGUGAGCCUGUUCGCAUGUGAGCUCCCAUGAAAGAUCUGUGAAGACCCCACGGAACUGUGUAAAUCUCAAGAGGAUGACAGCCAGACUGAGACAGUACAACACCACUUGCUCUACAUGCUUCCCAUAGCCUUAUGUGUUAGAUGUGGUUAGGCUGGACCAUAAACUCAUUGGUACCUCUUGGCUGCUCAGAAUGGUUACGAAGGAUGGCCAAUGGGGUUUCAUCGCCAAGUAGGAGCAACUAUAUUUUAGAAUUACCUUGUAGAGCCCUGUUGAAGAUGCUGAUCCUGGAUCCUGACUUAGCAGUAAAGAGCCCCCUGCCUGUUCAUUACACUUCCAGUGAGGUGGGAAGGCUGAUAGAAUAAUUACAUAUUUAUUAUCCUGAAAACAAAAGAAGAACUUAGGGGAAAUGGCUGUCUGCAUUUGUGGCUCCUUUAAAUAAGGUCUCAUCGUGAUGGUCUGAGGUUAAUAGACAAAACCAAAGGGUGAGACAAGACUUCAAGAUAUGAGAGAAAAAGCAAAUGGUGAGGAUUCUCCCUGGCUUCUGGGUCUCCUUAUUUUUUUUAAAUUAGAAUAGAACUUUAUUUGUGGAAUUGAGAUUUUGAAAAUGAUUUUAUAGUUUAUGCGGUAAAUUUUGAUACAUUAAUCUGGAUAUACAUUUACCAUAUAAGAAAGAAUUUAAAAACAAUGUUGAAUAUCUUAUCACCAAAACCAAUUGUGUUCAACUUGAUAUUUUUAAGGAAUAACUUAGGUAUUAUAAAUAAAAAGCGAAAACAAAUUACCAUUAGGGUCUGCAUUUGUAACAUAAUUUUGUGUUUCAUUUGUCAGGGGAGGAGAAUUAGAGAAAAUGAAGACUAAAAUACUUUCUUAGAAAAGUACAAAGCCUUUGCUUUGUGAAAUUGGCUCCACAACUCCCCAGCAGUCGAAUGUCGCUGAGACAUUUCCAUGCAGACUGGCAUGAGGAGCUGUGUGAUCUAUCCAGGUUCCUCCAGACCAUUGGUCCACACCUGGGCGAGUCUUUAAUAAAAGGCAGUGCAAGGCUCAUUUCCACAGAGGGCGCCCUCAGAGGACCUGCCCCCUCGCCCUGAUUCUGCAUUCGGGACACAUCUGAAUAUAAAUCAGGAAAGCCAGCACCAGAAACACCUAUCUAUGAACUUGGUUCCAGUUGAAUCAGAGACUCUGACAAUGGGGUCUGGAGAUCUGACCAAAAAAAGCCAGGGAAUUCGGACUCACUUUAGGCCACAGGGAUGGUGAGGUUCGGUGGACACGCUCCAGUGGGAUUGGUCUACAGAAAGGAUAUCCUGGUCUGGCUUACACACAUCCGUGGAAAUGCAAACCAUUUGUGGCAAGAUGACUGCCAGCAAUGUCUGUUACUAUUACUUACCUUUGGCGAAACAACAUGAAACAGCUUCAGCUUUUGAGUUUUGCUAUCUUAAACCUCAUUUUCUAGGCUUUUGGCAGAAGUUGUUCAUGCACGAAGGGGAAAAUGGUAGUUAAGUUGGGGAUUCUCACCUUGGUCUUGGAGACAUUUAGGCUAGAUGAUUUUUGAUGUAGGAGCUGGCCUGCAUGGUGAAAGUUUACCAGCAUCCCCGGCCUCCACACUGUUCCCAAGCUAGGUCUUGACAAUCGGAAGCCUUUCCAGACACUGCCUGGGACUCUGCAGAGCAAAAGUGUACUUGGCUGGGAAACACUAACCUAAGCCAUGGUAGUUCUAGUCCAUAGUGGCCGCAAAGGAGGAAUGUGGCAGCCAGAGGACAGUGGAGCUCACUAGGGCCCGAGGGCUCACCUAGUAUGAGUGACUGUGCCUCUGUCUCCCCUGCACCAGCAUCACCUACACGGUGAUCAGGGCAGAGAAGAUCAUCAAGAUCAUAUCCAUGUGGACAGCUCCAUGGCCCUGGUGUAUCUGAAGCGUCUUGGGUGAGAUCUUACAAGGCUGCAACUGACUAACAAGCCAUGAAAAAGCCUUUGUGUCUGGCAAAACCUCAACAACACACUGGCCAGUAGGACAAUGAGGAUUUCAAAUCUGGCUAGCGGUGCAGUCAGAAGCCUGUGACCUUUUAAGGGGUCUUGUUGGGUAUACCAGCCUUUGGGGGUCUCUCCUUUUCCAGCGUUUCUACAGAACCUGGAAUUAUCCAGCACUUCAGAAAAAGGCCCCAUCCAAACCCCAGGGGUGCCCCCUGCUGGAAAAGGCAUAGAAAUGACCUUUCUGAGAUACU
This 2723-nucleotide long non-coding RNA is filed under the name Cricetulus griseus (Chinese hamster). RNAcentral's name for it is "lncRNA (ENSCGRG00015039325.1)". Lineage: Eukaryota; Metazoa; Chordata; Mammalia; Rodentia; Cricetidae. The record is from RNAcentral.